Molecule: ribosomal RNA, 1375 nt
Filed under: Salmonella enterica
Lineage: Bacteria; Pseudomonadati; Pseudomonadota; Gammaproteobacteria; Enterobacterales; Enterobacteriaceae
Description: partial 23S ribosomal RNA
Rfam family: Bacterial large subunit ribosomal RNA
Source: RNAcentral
UGAAGCAACAAAUGCCCUGCUUCCAGGAAAAGCCUCUAAGCAUCAGGUAACACGAAAUCGUACCCCAAACCGACACAGGUGGUCAGGUAGAGAAUACCAAGGCGCUUGAGAGAACUCGGGUGAAGGAACUAGGCAAAAUGGUGCCGUAACUUCGGGAGAAGGCACGCUGACACGUAGGUGAAGUGAUUUACUCAUGGAGCUGAAGUCAGUCGAAGAUACCAGCUGGCUGCAACUGUUUAUUAAAAACACAGCACUGUGCAAACACGAAAGUGGACGUAUACGGUGUGACGCCUGCCCGGUGCCGGAAGGUUAAUUGAUGGGGUCAGCGUAAGCGAAGCUCCUGAUCGAAGCCCCGGUAAACGGCGGCCGUAACUAUAACGGUCCUAAGGUAGCGAAAUUCCUUGUCGGGUAAGUUCCGACCUGCACGAAUGGCGUAAUGAUGGCCAGGCUGUCUCCACCCGAGACUCAGUGAAAUUGAACUCGCUGUGAAGAUGCAGUGUACCCGCGGCAAGACGGAAAGACCCCGUGAACCUUUACUAUAGCUUGACACUGAACAUUGAGCCUUGAUGUGUAGGAUAGGUGGGAGGCUUUGAAGUGUGGACGCCAGUCUGCAUGGAGCCGACCUUGAAAUACCACCCUUUAAUGUUUGAUGUUCUAACGUGGACCCGUAAUCCGGGUUGCGGACAGUGUCUGGUGGGUAGUUUGACUGGGGCGGUCUCCUCCUAAAGAGUAACGGAGGAGCACGAAGGUUGGCUAAUCCUGGUCGGACAUCAGGAGGUUAGUGCAAUGGCAUAAGCCAGCUUGACUGCGAGCGUGACGGCGCGAGCAGGUGCGAAAGCAGGUCAUAGUGAUCCGGUGGUUCUGAAUGGAAGGGCCAUCGCUCAACGGAUAAAAGGUACUCCGGGGAUAACAGGCUGAUACCGCCCAAGAGUUCAUAUCGACGGCGGUGUUUGGCACCUCGAUGUCGGCUCAUCACAUCCUGGGGCUGAAGUAGGUCCCAAGGGUAUGGCUGUUCGCCAUUUAAAGUGGUACGCGAGCUGGGUUUAGAACGUCGUGAGACAGUUCGGUCCCUAUCUGCCGUGGGCGCUGGAGAACUGAGGGGGGCUGCUCCUAGUACGAGAGGACCGGAGUGGACGCAUCACUGGUGUUCGGGUUGUCAUGCCAAUGGCACUGCCCGGUAGCUAAAUGCGGAAGAGAUAAGUGCUGAAAGCAUCUAAGCACGAAACUUGCCCCGAGAUGAGUUCUCCCUGAGACUUAGAGUCUCCUGAAGGAACGUUGAAGACGACGACGUUGAUAGGCCGGGUGUGUAAGCGCAGCGAUGCGUUGAGCUAACCGGUACUAAUGAACCGUGAGGCUUAACCUUACAACGCCGAAG